AGAAAUUUAAGUUAAAUUAGACCAAGGACCUUCAAAGCCCUUAGUAAGUAAAUUACUUAAUUUCUG
RNAcentral lists this transfer RNA (66 nucleotides) under Erythrocebus patas (red guenon). RNAcentral describes it as "tRNA-Trp". Lineage: Eukaryota; Metazoa; Chordata; Mammalia; Primates; Cercopithecidae. The record is from RNAcentral.